Molecule: long non-coding RNA, 6914 nt
Organism: Apis cerana (Asiatic honeybee)
Lineage: Eukaryota; Metazoa; Arthropoda; Insecta; Hymenoptera; Apidae
Source: RefSeq, a predicted model, not a curated record
GGGCGUGGCUCGAUUACUGUAAACGGCGCUGUUUCGAGGAUUGCAUUCGAGAAAUCGGUGGCCAACGUUCACUGCGCUCGUUACGCAAAAUGAGGGACGAAGGUGGUACUUUGUAGUGUGGCGAAGGCGUAGAUUAAAAGCGACAGUUCGAAAGCUAAUAUGGUAGUGGUAGAUUAAAUGUUUGUGUGACAGUUGAGAAGCCGGGCAGUCGGGUUGUUGUAGAUUAAUAGUUUCGUGCGCGAUUGUUCAGAAGGUAAAUACAAUGGUAUGUGGUCGGGUUGCUCAAUACAAGGCGCCUUGGUAAGAUCGGAGAUAUAGUAAAUCAAAGAACGUGGCUAUCCUCUGGUUACUUAUCUGGAAUGGAUUUAUUCGCUAUUGUCAGCUCAAGAUUGCUCGACGAGAUAUCUGGAUGGUGGAAAUUUUAUGUCAGCCUCGUGUGGUGAUUUAACGUCUGGAAAGACAGAUGAAGGAAUUGGAAGAAGGUCAAUUUCAUUGUCCAAUUAAUCAGUGUGAUAUUAUAACCAAGUCUGAGAAUUGAGUCUGAGAAUUUUUUCUUUUUCCAAUUAUCAGAAGUAUGAUUUUUGAUAAAAAAAAAAAAAGAAAAAGAAAAUUGAUAUUAAUUUUCGUUUAGAGAUUGAAAUGUUAUUUGAUCGAAGAUAUUUAUUAGAUGGUAUUAAAUCUGUGCAAAAUGGGCUCUAUGACAGGGCUCUUAUAUUCCAUCGUAACGCGGAUGGAACGUCGUCUUGUCCUUUUCUGUGGGAUUGCAUAUGUAAGAGCUUUCACGUUAUCCCUUGGGGAGAAACUUGGAGGGAUUUGGACCGAGGGUCUUUUUCUAUGAUUUUCUUUUUACCCAUCCAUUGAUAUCGGGGGAUAAUCAUAAAAAAUUCAUAAACUGCAAUAAUAAUUUCCACGGAUAAAAACAUAGUUCGUUCGAGCACCCUGUAUAUACUCAAAGGUUGGUACGCCUGCAGAACAUGGGAUACACUGUUGACGAGAUACGGAUAAUUGACAAAGUUUCAAAUAUAUAUAAGCAAGGAUUUACAAGAAACAUUGGUCCACAAUAAUCGACCUUCCAUUCUUCACACAAUUGGCGAACCGUGACGACGACAAAAAUGUUUACACGCAAUUAUUCGGCAUUUACGAGUGGUUCAUCGCCGAUACUCGAAGGCCGUAAAUUUGUCGAACCGUUGCACCACGUUAUACACCGUGCUGUACACGGUAAUUUUACGGUUGUUCUCGUCCAUUCGCCGUUUUUUAACGACACCAGAACAAUCCUUCGUCGAAGACCCCCAAAGAUCUAUUCUGCACCGGGAACCCAUCAGUUCAAACUCUCUUCAUGAUGCAAAAAAAAAAAAGAGAGAGAGAGAGAGAUCCAAAAGUUACACGCUAGUGCUAUUGUUUCGACGUUUCUACCACGAAAACGAAAUUGCACGGUAGUAUCUGCUUUGUAUCGCAACCUAUCGCGUUCGACGGUUUGGCUCGAAUCGCUUUAUAUUACGUUUUAUGGAAACCUUUUAACGUGAUCAGAAAAUAAGCUUGGAAGAAAUAGAAGCGUGGAAACUGUUUGUAAUCCUCGUGGAUUGCGGCCGAGCAUCCGUGGAAAUAUGCAAAUAUCCAAAUCGAUUUUGUCCAAAUUGUUUCUCAUAAUUGUUGGAAUUCUGAAAUUCUGUUAUUAAUUUGGAUUAAAUGCGAGUGAUGAUAUAUCGAUAAAUUAAGUAUGCAUAUUUAUUUUCAAUAAAAAAAGUAAAUUUAAAAUUUUAAUUUAAUUAAAAAAAAAAUUAUCUUACGGUUCAAAAUUUAAUAAACAAAAAUUUUCUCCAAAUGAUAAAUAUAAAAAGAAUCUAAAAAAAUGUUAAUUGCUUUAUCGACGUGAAUUUUUCAAAAUAAAGAGUCUACAAAUUCCCAGAUCGAACAACGGAGGUCGAACAAUGGACACCGGGAUUGUAAGGCAAAUGGGUGAGUAGCGCAUCGGAGGAGGACUUGGGGAACCAUGGCGCAUAAAGCGAUAUGGUUAUUUCGGAAUAUCUGCAGCCAUACGCGACCACUCAAUGCUUCCAUUUCAAUGUUUCGCCCCUCCAAGCGUAAAAGUGGCGAAAAUACGACGAGAUGGGGUGAGUUUUGCGAGGGUUGCGACCGAAGAGUCCCCGGCUAUAAUACCCCAGCGGCUGGAAACGGGCAAUCGAGACGUAACUUCGAUACUCUCGGAAUUAGUCCCAUAGAAUCGACAGAAAUCACGAUAUUUCGCUACCUUUCGCUCGAAAAUGCCGAAUAAUAUUUCACAAUGCGACGAAUAUGUGGAAUGAACUUGCUUGAAUUAUUACACGCGUGUAUAAUAAUUAUUUCUUUCCCGUGUUAUUUGUGAUUCAAAGUAUGUACAUACGUAUAUGUUGUGAAAGAAGAGAUACCUUUAUGUUUCGUUGUCAUUUUUUGAAAUUAUGUCGAUUAUUAGUUUCUUAAUAUUAUAAAUGCUGUUUGACAUCUUAAUAAUGCGCAUUUGAAUAAAUAAUGCAAUAAUGUAAAAGUGUUAUAAAAAAUAUUAUCGAAAAAGCAUGCAUUUGUAAAGCAACUGGAAGAGGUUAUAUUUAUACAUAAUAUUCCACAUAUAACUGAAAAAAUCGAAUAUACCGUUGAACUCUAUCUCAGAUCUAUGUAACGAUUAUUGUCAGACUUGUUCAGUAUUGGCUAUCCUCCAUCACUUUAAGCGAAAGUGGGGAGGUUUCACGUUAUGUCAUGAACUAAGAAUGAAGGAAGUGGAAUAAACGCGAUAGCUAAACGUGGCUACUAAUUCAUCUUAUAAUAUCUUACAUAAAAAUUAUUUGAAAAUAAAAUGAUGUGAUAUUUUUAAAGGAGUUGUCGUUGGAAUUGAAAAAUGUUUCAAAGAGGGGACUUUGGGAGCCAUAGGAAGAUGCUUUGUGACCAGUAAUCUGAUGCAUCCUAUUAAUUUACUAUACGCUUUUAUUUCGUUUGUAUAUCAUAGAUAUAGCUUAUGAGUAUAAUUCUACAUCAAGUUUCGAAAAUGGAUACAUUUACAUUCAUUGUCAAUGGAUUACCUUUUCGCUUGUCAAUCGUCAUCGUCAAUCGCCACCCUCGUCGUCGUCGUCACCAUCUUAUUUAUUUAAUUUUUUUUUUUUUUCAUCGUUACGGCAUAAUACUAAUUCUUGAAAUAGACAUGAGACUCCAUUAUUCCUUUUACUUUUAUUACUCUUAACGUGGUAAGGUAGGUAUUGAAGGACAGCUACGCUCUCUUAUCGUUCUAGCAUUACAUUAAUUAGGUAUCAUCCAGCGGCAUGCGAGGAUCCGCAGUUUAUCGAUCGAUCGAUCGAUCAACAAGAUCGAUUAAUUACGAUCCAUCGAUUGCCGCAGAUUCUCGCUCACUGAGCAACGUUAACGUUACGUAGUAUUAAUAUUUACAUCGAAGAAACUCUUGAAGUAAUACACGGCUUUUCAUUCAUUUUUUUAAACGUAGGUACAGCAAGACGAUAAUUAUAAGACCUAAAUUCUCAGUUCUGAUAUUUUUUUUUUUUUCCUAUAUUGUUUUUUCUUUUUCCUUUUUUACGCUCGAAUGAAUGGUACAUGAAUGUAUGUAUACGUUACGUAUGUGAGUUGCACGUAGUAUUGGUACGUAUGUAUUCUCUGUGUUAUAUGCGUUUGCGGAGACAUUUGAGAGUGCGUGCGCAUGGUUAUUUUGACGAAUGGUUCACGAGUAGGAUUAUAACAGUGCCGUGAGAAAAAACUGUUCUACAAAAAAGAGAAAAAAGAGAAGAAAAAAAGAAACGAGGAACAAUGGCUUCCGUUUUUGCGCAAGAAAAACAAUAACGAUCACAGUACGUCGCGUCGAAGCAUCGAACACUCGAUAUAGAGAAAAAUAUCAUUUUUCCACUCUGUCGUGGCGACUCGAGAGCAAAUGAAUAUGCGACAUGUGCACAAAACCCGGCUACGUGGCUCUUUUAUUUAUUUAUUUCUUUAUUUAUUUAUUUUUUUUUUCAAUUUUUCGGCUCGUCGUCAACUUAUAUCCUAAGAAUAACCACGAUUCGCGUACAAUUGUUAUUAAUUAUCGAAACGAUAAACAAUAUAUUUUAAGUAACCGCGAAACGGCGCAGAACAAUAAUAUAAUCGAUAAAAUAUAUCCAUGUAGGGACGAAGUUCGAGAAUUGCACGAUCGUUUUUACUGGGAGGAGAGGUAAAAGUGGAGGGAGUGGAAAUUCUCGCGCAACGCGAAAACGCGCGAAUGGGGAUGAGACAGGCCACCCCCUCCUCUCUGGUCGAACGUGAAAUUCUCGAGGCAUCAUCGACCCGCUAAGAAACUAACCGGCAGGAUACACACAGUGCUAUACACUCGCGAAAUGUAAAACUAUAAUAGAAAAAAAAAAAAAAAAAAGGAUUUGUAAAAAUAACAAUAUUCAACGCAUGAGCGAAAGAUGAGAGCUGCCAAUAAAAGAUACGACACUUAGAAUAUAGACCAGCGAUCCUUAACCUCAAUCUGGUUAAUACAGGGUCUAGGAAUGACGAUAAUAUUCCGUAGAGAGUAAAAAAAUUCAUUAAUAGUUGAUAAUUUGAUUGAAAAAUUUUCUUAUUUUUUUUUUUAUGACAGAAAUAAUAAAUUCUUGAUUUAAAUCUCGACCCUGUAUCCCGUAUUAAUUGUGGUUCAAUUCAUUUUUCAAAUUAAAAUUUGAUUUAUUGUUCGAUUAUCGUAAUGAAUUUUGAAGAACAAUUAAUUUGAGUUGAGGAUUUAAAACUUUAAAACUUUAAGAAACGGUGAUGUAGAUUUAUAAAUAUAAAUUUUCAGAAUCAGUUACAAACAAUCAUGUUUUAUAUUUUCGUCGAAUUUUUUAAUUUUAGAAAAGAACAGUUUACAGCUGAUUCCAAAUCUAAGUGCGUAAUCGUAUUGCGUAACACACGCAAAUCGAUCGUAAAAUUCUCUAACGAACACAAUCAAAAGAGAAGUGUAUAUAGAAAUAAUAUAUUACAAUAUAUUUUUUUCAUUCAAAAGUCAUUCUUACUUCUUCUUUCUUUUUUCUCUUUUUCUUUUUUUUUUUUUUCCUCUCCUUUUUUUUCGAAAGACGAUCGAAUCGUUUCGUAUACCAUCAUCAUAUAUUUUUAUGGCACGGAUGUUUUUUUUCUGUGACGAUCGAUCGAUCUGAUUACAAAACAGAAUCAUCGUCUUUCGGAAUUGUAAUAUUUUUAAAAAUAUCUGUACAUAAUCUCAAAAUCGUACAAAAAGAGAUAAUCGUAUCACAAAUAUGAAAAGGAAAAAGAGAAAAAAAAGAGAAGAAGACAAAACUCAUCAAUUUCUCCCCUCUCUCUCUCUCUCUCUCUCUCUCUCUCUCUCUCUCUCUUUCUCUCUUACUCUUUUAUUUCGCAUUUAACAAAAACAAAACUACGAAAAAACGUGUAAAAUAAACAGCUCAUAAAUAAACAAUUAGGUAAAAAAAAAAAGAAAAUAUAACAAAUUAUUCUUUAGUUUUUUCUCUCUCUCUCUCUCUCUCUUGUUUUUGCGCAAUUUUAAUUCGAUCCUAUGUUCCCGUCAAACGUUUUAAAUUCAAUCUUCUUUUUCCUUCAUUUUUCAUCACCAAUUGGUACGCGCAUAUUUUAAGAAUAAUUAAUUAAUAAAUUUCGAUUUUUGUCAAAUUUGCCACGUUUGCUUACGCAUACACAUUAGUACGGCACGAUUCACGCGAUAUUUUCUUUCAUUCCAUCUUUUUCGCUUGCACGCUUUCCACUAAUUAUUCUCUCUCUCCCUCUUAUGCAUACAUAAGUCGUCCUCUAGACGAAGGACAUUCACUCUUUCGUUCUCUCUCUCUCUCUCUCUCUCUCUCUCUCUCUCUCUCUCUCUCUCUUUCUCUCUCUCGUUCCUUCGUACAUGCCAAAACGCUGACAUCGUUUCGACCAAUGCUCGAGCCACACUCCAGUGUUUCCGUUUCACACACAAUUUCCUUAAUUCGGAUUAGAGAAGUGUUCACACGUACGCGCGUGCGCACGCAUCUUCCAUUUUGAUUUCUUUUUUCUUUUGACAUUCUCGAGAACAUCGCGCGACACGCACGUAAAUAUUCCUUUCCUUUUGCAGGUUUUAUCAAACGAUGAAUCGUGGUUUAUAUAUAUAUAUAUAUAUAUAUAUACAUAUAUAUAUAUAUAUAUAUUUUUUUUUUAUGCUUCUUUUUACGCGAAUUUGGCAAGUCGGGCAAAAAUUGUACUACUACACAGCGGAUGCUUUUUUUUGUUGUUCACGUUGUUCAUGUUGUUAUGUUUCUUUUCCUUUUUUUUCCCUCGUGUUUCUGACAUAACCUAUAUCUAUAUACGUAUAUAUAUAUACGUAUAUAUAUAUAUAUAUAUGUAUAUAUAUAUAUAUACGUAUAUAUAUAUGCAUAUGUAUAGACCUAAUCGAUAUAGUUUAAUUCAAUAUAAUACAUCUAUAUAAUAAUGGUAAGAUAGAGCGAGUAAAUCGAUUGGAUGUCGAUGAGGAGGAGAAAAUGAUCUGGGAUGACAAAGAUGGGAGGGAUGGGGAUAAGGAUGCGAAUAUGAAAGAGAACAAGGAAGCGUUUAUGAAUGUUAUUAUGAUAUGAUUACGCGUCAAUUAUUUUGGAAUAAUAUUCUAUAACAACGUAGAUGUUCAUUAGGUUGUUUAAAAAGAUAAGCCGAGAGAAAGCUUCGUAUGUGGACGGCGCCCGCACAGUUUUUUUUUUUUUUUCUAUUCUAAAAAAAAUUUCUCGACUUACACGCUGAUCCUUCCCGAUUUCUUACCCGAAUGAUUUGGGAACGCGAGACACGUUCAUCUGCGAUGUGCUACGCUUUUUAUCCAAUCUCAAUAAAAUUAACGUCAAUUUCUGUAACAGGCGAUUCCGAUAGACACUGGGUGUCGUAAGGGAACAUAAAAGUAUUCGAUAACGAAACUUAAAAAAAAAAAAAAAAAAGAAAAA